This 536-nucleotide ribosomal RNA is filed under the name Stenotrophomonas maltophilia. RNAcentral describes it as "bacterial SSU rRNA". It matches the Rfam family "Bacterial small subunit ribosomal RNA", at positions 92 to 624 of the family's 1533-position model. Lineage: Bacteria; Pseudomonadati; Pseudomonadota; Gammaproteobacteria; Lysobacterales; Lysobacteraceae. The record is from RNAcentral.
CGAGUGGCGGACGGGUGAGGAAUACAUCGGAAUCUACUUUUUCGUGGGGGAUAACGUAGGGAAACUUACGCUAAUACCGCAUACGACCUACGGGUGAAAGCAGGGGAUCUUCGGACCUUGCGCGAUUGAAUGAGCCGAUGUCGGAUUAGCUAGUUGGCGGGGUAAAGGCCCACCAAGGCGACGAUCCGUAGCUGGUCUGAGAGGAUGAUCAGCCACACUGGAACUGAGACACGGUCCAGACUCCUACGGGAGGCAGCAGUGGGGAAUAUUGGACAAUGGGCGCAAGCCUGAUCCAGCCAUACCGCGUGGGUGAAGAAGGCCUUCGGGUUGUAAAGCCCUUUUGUUGGGAAAGAAAUCCAGCUGGCUAAUACCCGGUUGGGAUGACGGUACCCAAAGAAUAAGCACCGGCUAACUUCGUGCCAGCAGCCGCGGUAAUACGAAGGGUGCAAGCGUUACUCGGAAUUACUGGGCGUAAAGCGUGCGUAGGUGGUCGUUUAAGUCCGUUGUGAAAGCCCUGGGCUCAACCUGGGAACUGC